Paramuricea clavata is the source of this 784-nucleotide non-coding RNA. Lineage: Eukaryota; Metazoa; Cnidaria; Anthozoa; Malacalcyonacea; Plexauridae. The record is from the annotation of a GenBank genome assembly.
GACUUCUAUUGCUUAGGGUUGACGAUUGCUGUGACGACAGCACUGCAGACGACACCACAACCGCGAUCGUGUCAAAAUGAUGGAGUGAUUGUGGGCCAGGAUCGUCACCCAAAAUGCCAUUGCAGCUCCGGCUUCAAGGGAUAUGACUGCAGUCUGAGAGGCAAGCGUCUUAAGAUACGAGAGUUUAAGUACUAUUUAAAGCACGCGUAGGUGUGUUUUAUCACAUAUAAAAACGACUCAUCUUAUACGAGUUCAUUGGCGAAAUAAUUUUUAAAAUAAACUUUGUCUAAAUCGAGAAAAUCAAAGCUAAAGUUUAUGUAAAUUAACAUGAUUUUUAUCACAUAUAUAAAACCACGACACGCUUAUGAUUUUUCUUUGUGUUUUGCCCCUGAAUUAUCGAGUUUUUUAAUGAAUGAUGUUUGAGUGUUGAGUUAUCCGAUAGUUUAAAUUGGCAGAGGGCAGGUGCCAUGUCCCCCCCUGAAACAAAACCAACAUUGUCAAUUCCAUUUAAAGAAUGAGCGAAUGAGUAAAGAAAAAACCCCUCCCCCCGUCGACCGACAACGAUGGACGGAUGUAAGUUUUACUUUUGCCGACAAAAUAGGCGUGGUUUUGAUGUAGUUGGGGCGUGGUCAUUGCCGUUAUCAACUGACUUUCGUCUUGUCCCUAGUGACUCCUUGUGAAGCAAGUCCUUGUAGAAAUGGAGGAACAUGUUCAGAAAACAGAGAUGGAACAUUUACAUGUAACUGUACAGCUUUAUACAAUGGCAUCUUGUGUGAACAUCCUG